UGGGGAAUAUUGCACAAUGGGCGAAAGCCUGAUGCAGCGACGCCGCGUGAGGGAUGACGGCCUUCGGGUUGUAAACCUCUUUCAGCAGGGAAGAAGCGAAAGUGACGGUACCUGCAGAAGAAGCGCCGGCUAACUACGUGCCAGCAGCCGCGGUAAUACGUAGGGCGCAAGCGUUGUCCGGAAUUAUUGGGCGUAAAGAGCUCGUAGGCGGUUAGUCGCGUCUGCUGUGAAAACUCGAGGCUCAACCUCGGGCUUGCAGUGGGUACGGGCUGACUAGAGUGCGGUAGGGGUGACUGGAAUUCCUGGUGUAGCGGUGGAAUGCGCAGAUAUCAGGAGGAACACCGAUGGCGAAGGCAGGUCACUGGGCCGCAACUGACGCUGAGGAGCGAAAGCAUGGGGAGCGAACAGGAUUAGAUACCCUGGUAGCCCAUGCCGUAAACGUUGGGCACUAGGUGUGGGGGUCCAUUCCACGGAUUCCGUGCCGCAGCAAAGCGCAUUAAGCGCCCCGCCUGGGGAGUACGGCCGCAAGGCUAAAACUUAAAGG
This 544-nucleotide ribosomal RNA is filed under the name uncultured bacterium. RNAcentral describes it as "partial 16S ribosomal RNA". It matches the Rfam family "Bacterial small subunit ribosomal RNA", at positions 355 to 907 of the family's 1533-position model. The record is from RNAcentral.